GUUUAUUUGGUAGUCUGGUCCUAGCCUCGUCACUACUUCACCGAGGUUAGGCUAGGCACUUACCAGCAGAUGAGAUCGGUUGUGUUGACACUACACUCUACACUGUGUGCAGAUUCUGGUGUUGUACUUUUGGACUGCAGUGAGGUUUCUAUCUUUAGUCCAACGGGCGACCCGAGAUAGUCCUGUAGGCAUCCACAUGCCUUCGCGUCUUCUUGUG
RNAcentral lists this long non-coding RNA (217 nucleotides) under Nicotiana benthamiana. RNAcentral's name for it is "long non-coding RNA (NBEN_LNC013942)". Lineage: Eukaryota; Viridiplantae; Streptophyta; Magnoliopsida; Solanales; Solanaceae. The record is from RNAcentral.